AUUGAACGCUGGCGGCAUGCUUUACACAUGCAAGUCGAACGGUAACAGGCCGCAAGGUGCUGACGAGUGGCGAACGGGUGAGUAAUGCAUCGGAACGUGCCCAGUCGUGGGGGAUAACUACUCGAAAGAGUAGCUAAUACCGCAUACGAUCUAUGGAUGAAAGCGGGGGACCGUAAGGCCUCGCGCGAUUGUAGCGGCCGAUGUCAGAUUAGGUAGUUGGUGGGGUAAAGGCUCACCAAGCCAACGAUCUGUAGCUGGUCUGAGAGGACGACCAGCCACACUGGGACUGAAACACGGCCCAGACUCAUACGGGAGACAGCAGUGGGGAAUUUUGGACAAUGGGCGCAAGCCUGAUCCAGCAAUGCCGCGUGCAGGAAGAAGGCCUUCGGGUUGUAAACUGCUUUUGUACGGAACGAAACGGCUCUGGUUAAUAACCGGGGCUAAUGACGGUACAGUAAGAAUAAGCACCGGCUAACUACGUG
Molecule: ribosomal RNA, 482 nt
Filed under: uncultured bacterium
Lineage: Bacteria
Description: partial 16S ribosomal RNA
Rfam family: Bacterial small subunit ribosomal RNA
Source: RNAcentral